AACGAACGCUGGCGGCAUGCCUAACACAUGCAAGUCGAACGGGAUCCUGACUUCGGUCAGGUGAGAGUGGCGGACGGGUGAGUAACGCGUGGGAACCUGCCCAGUGGUGGGGGAUAACUGCGGGAAACUGCAGCUAAUACCGCAUGAGCCCGAGAGGGGAAAGAUUUAUCGCCAUUGGAGGGGCCCGCGUUCGAUUAGGUAGUUGGUGAGGUAACGGCUCACCAAGCCUUCGAUCGAUAGCUGGUCUGAGAGGAUGA
Molecule: ribosomal RNA, 257 nt
Filed under: uncultured bacterium
Lineage: Bacteria
Description: partial 16S ribosomal RNA
Rfam family: Bacterial small subunit ribosomal RNA
Source: RNAcentral